GUUGUAGCUCAGUGGUAGAGCGCAUGCCUUGCAUGUGUGAGGCACUGGGUUUGAUCCUUACCAUCACA
This 68-nucleotide transfer RNA is filed under the name Marmota monax (woodchuck). RNAcentral's name for it is "tRNA.Ala". The record is from RNAcentral. Lineage: Eukaryota; Metazoa; Chordata; Mammalia; Rodentia; Sciuridae.